AUUGAACGCUGGCGGCAGGCCUAACACAUGCAAGUCGAGCGGAAGCAGGGAGCUUGCUCCUGGAUUCAGCGGCGGAGGGGUGAGCAAUGCCGAGGAAUCUGCCUGUCAGCGUGGUAUAACGGCCGGAAACGGGCGCAAAUACGGCAUAAGUCCUGAGGGCGAAAGGGGGGGAGCUUGGGACCUCACGCCCUCAGGUGAUCCUAUGUCGGAUUAGCUAGUUGGCGGGGUAAAGGCCUACCAAGGCGACGAUCCGUAACUGGUCUGAGAGGAUGAUCAGUCACACUGGAACUGAGACACGGUCCAGACUCCUACGGGAGGCAGCAGUGGGGAAUAUUGGACAAUGGGCGCAAGCCUGAUCCAGCCAUGCCGCGUGUGUGAAGAAGGUCUUCGGGUUGUAAAGCCCUUUUGGUUGGGAGGAAGGGCAGUAAGUUAAUACCUUGCUGUUUUGACGGUACCCACAGAAUAAGCACCGGCUAACUUCGUG
Molecule: ribosomal RNA, 484 nt
Filed under: uncultured bacterium
Lineage: Bacteria
Description: partial 16S ribosomal RNA
Rfam family: Bacterial small subunit ribosomal RNA
Source: RNAcentral